This 497-nucleotide ribosomal RNA is filed under the name uncultured bacterium. RNAcentral's name for it is "partial 16S ribosomal RNA". It matches the Rfam family "Bacterial small subunit ribosomal RNA", at positions 28 to 507 of the family's 1533-position model. The record is from RNAcentral.
GACGAACGCUGGCGGCGUGCCUAAUACAUGCAAGUUGAGCGCUGAAGGUUGGUACUUGUACCAACUGGAUGAGCAGCGAACGGGUGAGUAACGCGUGGGGAAUCUGCCUUUGAGCGGGGGACAACAUUUGGAAACGAAUGCUAAUACCGCAUAAAAACUUUAAACACAAGUUUUAAGUUUGAAAGAUGCAAUUGCAUCACUCAAAGAUGAUCCCGCGUUGUAUUAGCUAGUUGGUGAGGUAAAGGCUCACCAAGGCGAUGAUACAUAGCCGACCUGAGAGGGUGAUCCGCCACAUUGGGACUGGGACACGGCCCAAACUCCUACGGGAGGCAGCAGUAGGGAAUCAUCGGCAAUGGACGAAAGUCUGACCGAGCAACGCCGCGGGAGUGAAGAAGGUUUUCGGAUCGGAAAACUCUGUUGGUAGAGAAGAACGUUGGUGGGAGUGGAAAGCUCAUCAAGUGACGGUAACUACACAGAAAGGGACGGCUAACUACGUG